RNAcentral lists this ribosomal RNA (301 nucleotides) under uncultured bacterium. Its description in RNAcentral is "bacterial SSU rRNA". It matches the Rfam family "Bacterial small subunit ribosomal RNA", at positions 775 to 1067 of the family's 1533-position model. The record is from RNAcentral.
GGAUUAGAUACCCUGGUAGUCCUAGCUGUAAACGAUGGAUACUAGACGUAGGAACUGGAUUGACGGUUUCUGUGUCGCAGCUAACGCGUUAAGUAUCCCGCCUGGGGAGUACGGUCGCAAGACUAAAACUCAAAGGAAUUGACGGGACCCCGCACAAGCGGCGGAGCAUGCGGCUUAAUUCGAAGCAACGCGAAGAACCUUACCGGCCCUUGACAUGUUAGGUUUCGACUUUCAGAGAUGAAAGUUUUCAGUUCGGCUGGGCUUAAUACAGGUGCUGCAUGGCUGUCGUCAGCUCGUGUUG